This 497-nucleotide ribosomal RNA is filed under the name uncultured bacterium. RNAcentral's name for it is "partial 16S ribosomal RNA". It matches the Rfam family "Bacterial small subunit ribosomal RNA", at positions 28 to 507 of the family's 1533-position model. The record is from RNAcentral.
GACGAACGCUGGCGGCGUGCCUAAUACAUGCAAGUCGAACGCUGACGAGAGGAGCUUGCUCUUCUGGGAUGAGUUGCGGACGGGAGAGUAACGCGUAGGUAACCUGCCUGUUAGCGGGGGAUGACUAUUGGAAACGAUAGCUAAUACCGCAUAAAAUGGUUUAUAGCAUGAUAAUCCAUUGAAAGGUGCUAAUGCAUCACUAACAGAUGGACCUGCGUUGUAUUAGCUAGUUGGUGGGGUAACGGCUAACCCAGGGGACGAUACAUAGCCGACCUGGGAGGGGGAGAGGCCACACUGGGACUGGAGCACGGCCCAGCACCCUGCGGGAGGGAGCAGGAGGGGAUCUUCGGCAAAGGACGGAAGGCUGAACGAGCAACGCCGGGUGAGUGAAGGAGGGUGUCGGGUCGGAAAGGUCUGUUGGAAGAGAAGAACGAGUGUGAGAGUGGAAAGGUCACACUGUGACGGUACCUGAACAGAAAGCGACGGCUAACUACGUG